RNAcentral lists this ribosomal RNA (427 nucleotides) under uncultured bacterium. Its description in RNAcentral is "bacterial SSU rRNA". It matches the Rfam family "Bacterial small subunit ribosomal RNA", at positions 354 to 796 of the family's 1533-position model. The record is from RNAcentral.
AUCAGGAAUCUUGCGCAAUGGGGGGAACCCUGACGCAGCGACGUCGCGUGGAGGAAGACGGCCUUCGGGUUGUAAACUCCUUUUAACCGGGACGAGAAGGGACGGUACCGGUUGAAUAAGCCCCGGCUAACUCCGUGCCAGCAGCCGCGGUAAUACGGAGGGGGCGAGCGUUGUCCGAAUUUAUUGGGCGUAAAGCGCGUGUAGGCGGAUUUGAAAGCCUGAGGUGAAAGGUUGGGGCUCAACCCCAUACAGUGCCUUGGGGACUUCGAGUCUGGAGGCAGGCAGGGGAUCGUGGAAUUCCUGGUGUAGCGGUGGAAUGCGUAGAGAUCAGGAAGAACACCCGUGGCGAAGGCGGCGAUCUGGGCCUGUACUGACGCUGAGACGCGAAAGCGUGGGGAGCGAACGGGAUUAGAUACCCUGGUAGUCC